CUCAUCUAUAGCAGCACCCCAAUGUUCAUUAGGGCUGAAAUUAGGUCAGGUUAGGCUGGGCUCUACCCCUACCCAAGCCCGGCCCAAAAAAAUUUUUCAGGCUUUGGAUCGGGUUUAGGCCCAAUUAUUUUGGAAAAAAAACCAGCCCGAGCCUGGCCAGAUCCUAGGCCCAAGUGCGAUUGGGCUAGCCUGAGCCUACCUUCCUUCCCUUCAGC
This 215-nucleotide long non-coding RNA is filed under the name Elaeis guineensis (African oil palm). RNAcentral describes it as "long non-coding RNA (EGUI_LNC012104)". Lineage: Eukaryota; Viridiplantae; Streptophyta; Magnoliopsida; Arecales; Arecaceae. The record is from RNAcentral.